UACGGGGGGGGCAAGCGUUGUUCGGAAUUACUGGGCGUAAAGGGCUCGUAGGCGGCCAACUAAGUCCGACGUGAAAUCCCAAGGCUUAACCUUGGAACUGCGUCGGAUACUGGAUGGCUUGAAUUCGGGAGAGGGAUGCAGAAUUCCAGGUGUAGCGGUGAAAUGCGUAGAUAUCUGGAGGAACACCGGUGGCGAAGGAGGGUCUCUGGGCCGAUACUGACGCUGAGGAGCGAAAGCGUGGGGAGCGAACAGG
RNAcentral lists this ribosomal RNA (253 nucleotides) under uncultured bacterium. RNAcentral describes it as "partial 16S ribosomal RNA". It matches the Rfam family "Bacterial small subunit ribosomal RNA", at positions 524 to 776 of the family's 1533-position model. The record is from RNAcentral.